Molecule: long non-coding RNA, 3494 nt
Organism: Triticum aestivum (bread wheat)
Lineage: Eukaryota; Viridiplantae; Streptophyta; Magnoliopsida; Poales; Poaceae
Exons: 5
Source: RefSeq, a predicted model, not a curated record
GCCGGCCCACUGGCUAGUUGCAGGCGACGCUAGCGGGCGGCGCAUAGCCGCCCUCUCCCUACGGCGCGGCACGCCGCCGUCGCCGCCUCCGUUCUCGGCCGUCUCCCACGGCGCUAGCAGCCCCGGAUCAGCACUCUCCUUCCAGUCCACCCCCAGCGGCGCCUCGCCAUUCCUCCCUCGGCGCGGCCCUGCGGCUAAUCCUAGCCCCGAGGGUUCCCGCCGCGGCGUCGCCAUGGACGCCGAUGCCGCCUUCAGCUUCCUCCCCCGUCGUCUUCAGCGCGUCUCCAUCCCGGACUUCAGCAUCCACCCCCAGGCCUCUUCGUCCUACGAGGCGGCACAACGAAGAAUGGCGGUUUCCUGCCACCUCCAUCCAUGGCUCCUCUUCCUCGCGCGUAUCUGCCGGCGGGAGACCGCCUCCUCCGUCCCCGCAUCACAGAUAGGUAUACAAGUUCGGUCAACUGAUUCAGAUAAAUUGAUAUGUUGUGGGGAUCCAGGAGCAGAAUCUUUUUGUACAAUCACAACCUGUAGCUUGCUUUCUAGGAGCAGGAGGUGGAUCUGUGAUCCUGUCUUUGGGUAAAGGAAAUUCAGAAUUGGCAACAAAUGCUCUGGAAACAGCACCUUUUCUGCUUGGAUGAGCUGUUGCCUUCUGGUCUUACUUGAUAUCGAGUGAGAGGAAGGUUCGCUUGAACGUAGUCUCAGUGCAAUUGGUAGGCAAGAAGCUCCUGCUUCAUGAGCUCCACACCACAAUCUAAAUAUUCAGCACACCAUCAAAGAAAAAUCUCUCACAGCGGCAAUUGGAUGUGGCUUUGUGUUCUUUUAGCAGGAGGUCUGUACAAGUAAUCUGUGUACAAGUCCAAGUGAUAGCUCAUUGCUGCUUUGUUUUGCAACAAAGCUCUUAUGAUGGAUUUGCUCCAAGAAAUGAGGAGACAAAGGGAAUAAUACCAUGGGAGUCGCAUCCUCAAGGAAGUGGGCCUGAUUCAUACUCCCUCCGUCUCAAAAUAAGUGUCUUGAGCUUAGUACAAAUUUGUACUAGAGCUAGUACAAAGUUGAGACACUUAUUUUGGGACGGAGGGAGUAUGAUUUAUCUUCCAGGUACAACAUCAAUCCAGGGGUAGCAUCAAACUGUUGAGUGUGAUUGUUUUGCUGGAACCUUGGCGUGGGUUGAAUAAGUUUUUGGGCUGAUUCACAAGGUAUAACCUGAAUUUAUCUCACUGGGUUCAGGUGGGUGUUGUUACAUCAACCUUUCCUAGCUACUCUCUCCGUUCCUAAAUAUUUGUCUUUCUAGACAUUUCAAAUGACUACCACAUACGGAUGUAUGUAGACAUAUUUUAGAGUGUAGAUUCACUCAGUUUGCUCCGUAUGUAGUCACUUGUUGAAAUGCCUAGAAAGACAAGUAUUUAGGAACGGAGGGAGUACAAGGCAUGCAUGCAUGUUGAGAGUCUUGAGACAGGAGUCUAUAUCAGGUGCAUAUUCGAGUGAGCGUGUAUAUAACUUGUAAACAAACCAAUUUUCUUGUAACCACACAUGCUUAACAAGUAAUCACAGAGUGCAUCUCAACGCAUUAAAAUGGCUGAACUAUGUAACAAGCAGUGUUACCUUGUCGGAAUGUGGGUCCGUCGUAGAAUGGAACCGGAACACUCCUCGUUGACUGCAGAGGCAGAGAAGAAAAACAGAAGUUGAUAUGAGAUCAACUUGCAAAAACUCAAGAAACUGAUGCUUCUACAAUCUGGGCAAGCAAGCACCCUCGACACAUCGGGCAGGAUCAUGGACUUCUCAUGGUACACCUUCACAACAGGAGCUCCCGCCCCGGUGCCGAGCCCUGCCAUGGUGGCCAGAGCUCUCUCUCCUCUGGUUGAAGAAGUGAAGCCGGAGCUGUAUGCAAGUGAGUACUGUAAGCCCACCUUCAUUUUUUUAAUAUAAGAAGGUCAUCUGCCUCCAUGAAGAAGCAAAGAGAAGAUGCUUAAAGUGAGAACCAAGGAGGUGAGUGUACGGGACGAUAGAAAUAGAUAGAGGCAGGAUAAAGAAAAGGAAAAGACAGAGAACAAAGGAGAGAAAAAGCAAAAGGUAAAAGUGAAGUAAAUCUGGAGGGUUUUGAUUUUCGAUGGUGUUCUUUAGGUGUUGCCAUCAUGAGGGUCACAUCAGCAAUGCUAAGGUACUGUCUAUUUAAAGGGAAAGGGGUGAAAACAAAGUCAAAAGCUAUUUCUUGGACACCGCCUCUUUUAGUAACCAAUCGACUCACACGGGAAACGUCUCAAAUGAAGUAACGGACACUGUUCUAUUUGUUGGGUUAUGUCUCGCUUUAUUCAUUUCUUGGCCCUUUAACCAAAGGAGAUGCGGAAUGCCGGUACGGGAGCACGGAGGUUUUGUCUAGGAAGGCAAGUUUAGCAUCAGACCUGUAUGGCCCCUUCCUUGUACCAGCCCCCCAGUCUACCAGACAAACGGGAUGAGUGAUGGGCAUCCAGGGUGCCUUUGUUGUUUGUAUCACCAGCCUGACCGACAUGGGGACUUCAGACAGAGGAUACCUCAGUAAAUUGCCAAUCACGGGCCAUCUAGGAAGCAUGUGCUGCAACGUAGGUAGAAUCAUGUGUUGUCCAAGUGUGUGCAGUUUUUGUGGAGUGAAUUGAGUACCGAGUAUUAUGCUUCAUUUUUGUGGAUCAGAACCGGAACGAGUUAGAAUAGAAUGAAGCAUAACACUAUGAAAGUACUAAGCAAAGUAUCAAGUAUUCAGAGAGUUUGCAGUCCUGCUGGAGCGAUGGGGUUCUUGUUUCCUGUCACCCUGGUAAAUUCCUCAGUUUGUCGUUGUAGCUUAUUUCAAGGGUAUCCAACAUGUCUUUCUUCUGGUCUGGCUGCACGUGAAGCUUCUGUUGGGAGCUCAAGAGCUCCUGUAGAUUCUGAGUGGGCACUCUUUGUACCUGUCGAGGAUUUCAUAUAUUGUAACCAGCAUCAUAUGUGGCGGGGUUACUUCAGGAAAUAAUCUGCAGUUGAUAGCUCAUCAUGGUGGAUGGGCGUCUAGCCCAGUGGCAAGAGCGUGGCUGUGCGCCUUGGCUUACUCAAGUUCAAAUCAUGUGCCGCGAUGAUGAUGAAGACAUGGAAGAAGGAGGCUGAAGACACAUAACCCGGAAGCCUGUGUGCUGGAUGUGAAAAAUGUCUUUUGAUAAACUGGGUUUGAGGAAGUGUGGGAAGGCUGUGCGUUGGGUGGACAAAGGAAGAGCGCAGGAAGUCCCUAGUACUAAUCACACAUUAGCGGCAGCUACAGGAAAUCUGCAAGGAUAUUUCAUAUUCAUUCCUGCCAAUACAUGACGUAAACAGAGUAGCUUACUUUAGUUCGGAACCAGUGUUCAGUAUUUGUGUUGUGUGCCUCGCCAAAGAAAGAAGUACUGUAUUAGUGUCCGUCAUGCAAGUGACCCGGAUACCAACAAGAGCGUAAAUUUUUUCAACUGUAUCCUUCGUUCUCCAUCUUAAUUUCUUUUAGUGCCUGACAAAGAUAGUUUGUA